This 472-nucleotide ribosomal RNA is filed under the name uncultured bacterium. RNAcentral describes it as "bacterial SSU rRNA". It matches the Rfam family "Bacterial small subunit ribosomal RNA", at positions 355 to 825 of the family's 1533-position model. The record is from RNAcentral.
UGGGGAAUUUUUCGCAAUGGGCGCAAGCCUGACGAAGCAACGCCGCGUGGAGGAUGAAGGUCUUCGGAUUGUAAACUCCUGUCGACCGGGACGAAUGCACCCGACCUAAUACGUCGAAGUGUUGACGGUACCGGUGGAGGAAGCCACGGCUAACUCUGUGCCAGCAGCCGCGGUAAUACAGAGGUGGCAAGCGUUGUUCGGAAUUACUGGGCGUAAAGGGCGCGUAGGCGGCCCCAUAAGUCUCGUGUGAAAGCCCUCGGCUUAACUGAGGAUCUGCACGGGAUACUGUAGGGCUCGAGUUCGGGAGAGGAAAGCGGAAUUCCGGGUGUAGCGGUGAAAUGCGUAGAUAUCCGGAGGAACACCAGUGGCGAAGGCGGCUUUCUGGACCGACACUGACGCUGAGGCGCGAAAGCUAGGGGAGCAAACGGGAUUAGAUACCCCCGUAGUCCCUGAGCGGGCUGGCAAGGCGCAU